RNAcentral lists this ribosomal RNA (464 nucleotides) under uncultured bacterium. RNAcentral describes it as "partial 16S ribosomal RNA". It matches the Rfam family "Bacterial small subunit ribosomal RNA", at positions 29 to 507 of the family's 1533-position model. The record is from RNAcentral.
AUGAACGCUGGCGGCGUGCUUAACACCUGCAAGUCGCACGGAAAGGCUCCUGCUUGCAGGGGUACUCGAGUGGCGAACGGGUGAGUAACACGUGGGUGAUCUGCCCUGCACUUCGGGAUAAGCCUGGGAAACUGGGUCUAAUACCGGAUAGGACGAUGGUUUGGAUGCCAUUGUGGAAAGUUUUUCGGUGUGGGAUGAGCUCGCGGCCUAUCAGCUUGUUGGUGGGGUAAUGGCCUACCAAGGCGUCGACGGGUAGCCGGCCUGAGAGGGUGUACGGCCACAUUGGGACUGAGAUACGGCCCAGACUCCUACGGGAGGCAGCAGUGGGGAAUAUUGCACAAUGGGCGCAAGCCUGAUGCAGCGACGCCGCGUGGGGGAUGACGGCCUUCGGGUUGUAAACUCCUUUCGCUAGGGACGAAGCGCAAGUGACGGUACCUGGAGAAGAAGCACCGGCUAACUACGUG